AACGAACGCUGGCGGCAUGCCUAACACAUGCAAGUCGAACGAGACCUUCGGGUCUAGUGGCGCACGGGUGCGUAACGCGUGGGAACCUGCCCUUAGGUUCGGAAUAACUCCCCGAAAGGGGUGCUAAUACCGGAUAAUGUCUUCGGACCAAAGAUUUAUCGCCUUUGGAUGGGCCCGCGUUGGAUUAGCUAGUUGGUAGGGUAAAAGCCUACCAAGGCGACGAUCCAUAGCUGGUCUGAGAGGAUGAUCAGCCACACUGGGACUGAGACACGGCCCAGACUCCUACGGGAGGCAGCAGUGGGGAAUAUUGGACAAUGGGCGAAAGCCUGAUCCAGCAAUGCCGCGUGAGUGAUGAAGGCCUUAGGGUUGUAAAGCUCUUUUACCCGGGAUGAUAGUGACAGUACCGGGAGAAUAAGCGCCGGCUAACUCCGUG
This 433-nucleotide ribosomal RNA is filed under the name uncultured bacterium. RNAcentral describes it as "partial 16S ribosomal RNA". It matches the Rfam family "Bacterial small subunit ribosomal RNA", at positions 29 to 507 of the family's 1533-position model. The record is from RNAcentral.